CCUACGGGAGGCAGCAGUGGGGAAUAUUGGACAAUGGGGGAAACCCUGAUCCAGCGACGCCGCGUGAGUGAAGAAGUAUUUCGGUACGUAAAGCUCUAUCAGCAGGAAAGAAAAUGACGGUACCUGACUAAGAAGCCCCGGCUAACUACGUGCCAGCAGCCGCGGUAAUACGUAGGGGGCAAGCGUUAUCCGGAUUUACUGGGUGUAAAGGGAGCGUAGACGGCAGCGCAAGUCUGGAGUGAAAUGCCGGGGCCCAACCCCGGAACUGCUCUGGAAACUGUGAAGCUGGAGUGCAGGAGAGGUAAGCGGAAUUCCUGGUGUAGCGGUGAAAUGCGUAGAUAUAUGGAAGAACACCAGUGGCGAAAGCGGCUCUCUGGUCUGUAACUGACGCUGAGGUUCGAAAGCGUGGGUAGCAAACAGGAUUAGAUACCCCUGUAGUC
RNAcentral lists this ribosomal RNA (440 nucleotides) under uncultured bacterium. RNAcentral describes it as "partial 16S ribosomal RNA". It matches the Rfam family "Bacterial small subunit ribosomal RNA", at positions 338 to 795 of the family's 1533-position model. The record is from RNAcentral.